AAAAUCAUAUUCAUCGAGCAUUUGCCCGAUUGAAAGUUAUACCUGGGCACGAGAUUAAACCCCGAGCUUAGGAAAAACUCGUUCAAUUCCUUGUAGAUAACAUGGAUUGUUUUUCUUAGUCCCGCCUAGAUAUGACAGGGAUCCCACCGGAGAUCACUACGCAUCGAUUGAGCUUGGACCUAAAGUUCUUCCCAGUAAAAUAAAAGAGAAGGCCCAGUCCGAGGUAAAACAUGCAUUCAUUCAGGACAAGGUAAUAAAACUUCUCAAUAUAGGACUCAUUCGAGAGGUAAAAUAUCUUGAAUGAUUAGCAAAUGUAGUUGUAGUCCCUAAAACGGAAAUAAACUUAAACUUUGUGUAGACUAUAAGGAUUUAAACAAGGAAUGUCCUAGAUAUUCCUUUCCUUUGCCCAGUAUCGAUCACAUAAUCGAUGCCACAACUGGCCAUGAGAUCCUUAGUUUUUUCUAUGCCUACUUCGGGUACAAUCAAAUACAAAUAAACCCGGAGGAUCGGGAAAAGAUUUCAUUCAUCACUAAAUACGACACUUAUUAUUAUAGAAUAAUGUCGUUUGGAUUAAAAAAUGUUGCUGCUACUUAUCAACUCCUAGUAAAUAAAAUAUUCGAGGAACAAAUCGGCAAGUCAAUGGAGGUUAAUAUUGACGAUAUGUUUGUUAAGUCCCUACGAGUAGAGUAAUAUUUGAAACAUUUGCAGGAAACCUUCGACAUACGGAGAGAAUACAACAUGAAGCUCAACCCGCAGCGUUUGGGGUCGAUUCGGGCAAGUUUUUCGGCUUUAUGGUAUCAGAUCGGGGAAUUGAAAUCAACCCCGAUAAAAUCAAGGCAUUCGAAGACAUUACAAUUGUUUAUUAUGUCAAGGUUGUACAGAGGUCAAUAGUAGGGCAGUGCACGGAUUGAAUCGGAUCGAUUUAACAAAUUUCAGAUUUGGAUUUCGGAUUUCGAAUUCUAGAAACUACAAUCUGAAUCCGAUCUGAAUUAAUAUCGGAUCAGAGCACAUUUCAAAUUUUGGAUCAGAUCAUAUCUCGGACCGUAUUAUUAUGCCUCAAAGUUGCAAAUUAAUGUGUAUAAUUUCUUUAUAAAAGAGGCAAUACAUUAGAAAAAAUUAUGUUUAUGCAAUUAUGAGAGUACUAUGGUGCCAAUAUAGCUAAAUCUAGCAAUUGUAAAUGUAAUAACUUUGAGGAAGAUGUGAAGGAAGUAGUGACUAUCCGAAAUUAAAGUGUAGUAUUUAUAAAUUACCUAAUAAUUUCGGAUUUCGAAUCGAAUUAAAAUAUACCAAUCCGAAAUUCAAAAUUUUAAUAAACACAAUUUGAAACCCGAUCCAAUCUGAAAUAUAAAAUCCAAAAUUGAAUGGAUUAUAGUUUGGAUUUCGGAUAUCCAAUUUGAAUGAACAACCCUAGUUAACAGGACACAUAGCCACCCUAGGUCGAUUUAUUUCGAGGUCCUCAGAUAGGAGCCACUGGUUCUUCUUGCUACUUAAUAAGAAGAGCAGUUUCGCAUGGACCCCGAAAUGUCAACAAGCCUUGGAGGAACUCAAAUGAUACAUGUCGAGCCCACCAUUGCUUCACACCCCGAAAGCAGACGAGCAUCUCUACUUAUACUUAGCGGUGGGUCUUAGUUCGAAAAGAGCAAGGUACGUAAUUUCUUGUUUACUACGUUUGUCAAACUCUAGGAAAGGCCAUCAAGUCUUAAAUCUUGGAAAACUUCGUGGCCAAUUUCACACCAACUCUCAUACCCGAGGUCGAAAAGGAACUGUUAUUAAAGUUGGGUACAUCAUCGGGGAUGUAGACCCUCUUCAUAGAUGUCACUUUGAAUGUGAACGGGUUCGGGCUAGGCAUCGUUUUGAAGCCGCCCACAUGUAAUACAAUUAGAUAAACUAUCAAAAUUUAAAAUUAACUAAUAAUGAGGCCGAGUAUGAGGCCAUGGUUGCAGGUCCCAAGCUAGACAAGAGCUUGGGAGCGGAGGUCAUCGAGGCCAAGUGCGACUCUCAACUUGUGGUAAAUCAAGUUAACAGAACUUUCGAGGUUCGAGAGGAUCGAAUGCAAAGGUACUUGGAAAAACUACAAGUGUCUUGAUUUAAAGAAUGGACCCUUAUAGCACGUACCUCGAAAACAAAAUAGCGAAGCCGGUGCCCUUGCAAAUUUAGGAUCGUCGAUUGAGGAUAACAAACUCAACUUAGGGAUUGUCGUACAUCUUUCAAGGUCACUAAUCAAAAAAGGAGACACCGAAAUAAACUCCACAAGUCUAACCUAGGAUUGGAGGAAUAAGUACAUCGAAUACCUAAAUAAUGUGAAGCUUUCAUCAUAUCCUAUGGAAUUAAAGACUCUACGCACGAAGGUCGCAUGGUUCACAUUGACCGAGGAUGGAACACUGAAUAGGAGAAUGUUCGUUGGACUGUUGGUAAAAUGUUUGGGACCGGGAGAUACUGCCUAUGUUCUACAGGAAAUUCACGAGGGCAUUUGCGAAAAUCAUUCCGGUGUUGAAUCAUUGGUUCACAAAGU
RNAcentral lists this long non-coding RNA (2512 nucleotides) under Nicotiana benthamiana. RNAcentral describes it as "long non-coding RNA (NBEN_LNC042273)". The record is from RNAcentral. Lineage: Eukaryota; Viridiplantae; Streptophyta; Magnoliopsida; Solanales; Solanaceae.